CUACGGGGUGCAGCAGGUAGGAAUAAUCUACAAUGCACGCAAGUGUGAUAGUUUGAGCCAGAGUGUUUCUCAACGAGAAACUUUUUUGGAAUGUAAAAAGUUCCAAGAAUAAGGACUGGGUAAGACGAGUGCCAGCCGCCGCGGUAAUACUCGCGGUCCAAGUCGCAGCCAUUUUUAUUGGGUCUAAAGCAUCCGUAGCUUGCUUGACAAGUUCUCUGUGAAAUUUUGUAUCUUAAGUACAAAGCGGGCAGAGAAUACUAUCGAGCUAGAGACCGGAAGACGUAAGAAGUACAUUCAGAGUAGCGGUUAAAUGUGUUAAUCCUGAAUGGACUAACAAGAGCGAAGGCAUCUUACGAGGACGGUUCUGACAGUAAGGGAUGAAGGCUAGGGGCGCAAAACGGAUUAGAUACCCUAGUAGUC
RNAcentral lists this ribosomal RNA (420 nucleotides) under uncultured archaeon. RNAcentral's name for it is "partial 16S ribosomal RNA". It matches the Rfam family "Archaeal small subunit ribosomal RNA", at positions 323 to 746 of the family's 1478-position model. The record is from RNAcentral.